This 253-nucleotide ribosomal RNA is filed under the name uncultured bacterium. RNAcentral describes it as "partial 16S ribosomal RNA". It matches the Rfam family "Bacterial small subunit ribosomal RNA", at positions 524 to 776 of the family's 1533-position model. The record is from RNAcentral.
UACGAAGGGGGCUAGCGUUGUUCGGAAUUACUGGGCGUAAAGCGCACGUAGGCGGAUAUUUAAGUCAGGGGUGAAAUCCCAGAGCUCAACUCUGGAACUGCCUUUGAUACUGGGUAUCUUGAGUAUGGAAGAGGUAAGUGGAAUUGCGAGUGUAGAGGUGAAAUUCGUAGAUAUUCGCAGGAACACCAGUGGCGAAGGCGGCUUACUGGUCCAUUACUGACGCUGAGGUGCGAAAGCGUGGGGAGCGAACAGG